UUUCAGUGAAUUAAAGAAUGAAGAGAAAUCAACUUAUUUAUACCCAAGCUGACCAACUGUCAAGAAAAAGAAGACAAGGCAACUCCAUCUGAAGGAAAUUAAAAGAAAAGAUUUUAUCAUUACAACAAUAGAUGUGAAAAUGUUAUUUUUUCAAUCUAAAACACACAUAACAAAAAAUACACUUAAAAAAUACUGUUCAAGAUUGAUUCUUAAAAUAUCAGUCUUACUUUUUUUAUAUACUUGAAGAUGUAUUGUAAAAGUAAAUUUGUUAGAUUAAAGUUUUUCAAGGCUUGAAUUAUCUCCCCUUAUUAAUCUCCAAAAAACUUUAUGCAAGACUAUUUGUUUUCCAACUCCUAGAAUUCUAAAUGUU
RNAcentral lists this long non-coding RNA (370 nucleotides) under Mytilus galloprovincialis (Mediterranean mussel). The record is from RNAcentral. Lineage: Eukaryota; Metazoa; Mollusca; Bivalvia; Mytilida; Mytilidae.